Molecule: non-coding RNA, 176 nt
Organism: Paramuricea clavata
Lineage: Eukaryota; Metazoa; Cnidaria; Anthozoa; Malacalcyonacea; Plexauridae
Source: the annotation of a GenBank genome assembly
CACGAAACGUUUGUUCGCCACCACAGGCCACAGCAACCUAAGUUAGGUACAUUAUAUUUAUUGUAUAUUUUUGAUAAAAACAAUAAAUAUUAGUGUAUAUUUAUCAUCAAUUAUAAAAAUACAAAAAAUAUAAUACAUUUAGUUAGGUUGCUGUGGUGGCGAACAAACGUUUCGUG